Molecule: ribosomal RNA, 355 nt
Filed under: Staphylococcus aureus
Lineage: Bacteria; Bacillati; Bacillota; Bacilli; Caryophanales; Staphylococcaceae
Description: partial 23S ribosomal RNA
Rfam family: Bacterial large subunit ribosomal RNA
Source: RNAcentral
AAUGAACCGGCGAGUUACGAUUUGAUGCAAGGUUAAGCAGUAAAUGUGGAGCCGUAGCGAAAGCGAGUCUGAAUAGGGCGUUUAGUAUUUGGUCGUAGACCCGAAACCAGGUGAUCUACCCUUGGUCAGGUUGAAGUUCAGGUAACACUGAAUGGAGGACCGAACCGACUUACGUUGAAAAGUGAGCGGAUGAACUGAGGGUAGCGGAGAAAUUCCAAUCGAACCUGGAGAUAGCUGGUUCUCUCCGAAAUAGCUUUAGGGCUAGCCUCAAGUGAUGAUUAUUGGAGGUAGAGCACUGUUUGGACGAGGGGCCCCUCUCGGGUUACCGAAUUCAGACAAACUCCGAAUGCCAAUU